AGUAAUGAAUGGUAUUUUACCCCAAUUAAAUCCAGAGUAUCUUUAAGAAUGACCACUGUGCAUGAAUAUGACACGUAUAACAUUGAGCAAUUACACUGCCAGCUCUUAGCAGUGUGAAAAAGAUUGUUUUGAAUGGGAUUGGAUCAACACAACUCAAUCCCCUCUGGUUUGCUAAACUAAAAAGAACGUGUUGUUUCAGAUCUGUUCAGCAGUUGUCUGUGUUGUCCUGUAGUGUCAUGGUACCUAACACCGUGGUGACCAAGAUCUGUACACAAUCAUCUCCUUAGCUGGGUUACAUUUCAAAGGAUGCAGCGGGGUGUCCUGUUUAGGGUGAACCUGGGGAUUCAUGUUGUGAGUAUUACACACUCAGAGCUUUCACUCCAUGAAGCUAUUCCUGGGAACGGAACGGUAUGAGUUUAAGCAUCUAUACAGAGCACCAUGGCAGAGUGUAUCAAAAUGACUACUGGAGAGGUGGCUGGGCAGAGGAGGUUGCAGUGAGUGACUCAGCUAAGAAAAGCCAAUAUCAACAUUUAUCUGAAGCUUCAAUAUGGUUGAUGCAGAGGGAUGUGUAACUCUGGAGAUCAGUUUACCCCAUGUAAGAUGACUCACUUUCUGGAAUAGUUUCUCUCAGCUUAAUAAUGCAUUUUAGAUGUCUAGUUAUG
Numida meleagris (helmeted guineafowl) is the source of this 662-nucleotide long non-coding RNA. RefSeq lists it as uncharacterized. Lineage: Eukaryota; Metazoa; Chordata; Aves; Galliformes; Numididae. The record is from RefSeq and is a predicted model, not a curated record. The transcript has 3 exons.